RNAcentral lists this ribosomal RNA (430 nucleotides) under bacterium. Its description in RNAcentral is "partial 16S ribosomal RNA". It matches the Rfam family "Bacterial small subunit ribosomal RNA", at positions 355 to 776 of the family's 1533-position model. RNAcentral also lists the same sequence under 2 other names. The record is from RNAcentral.
UGGGGAAUAUUGGACAAUGGGCGAAAGCCUGAUCCAGCCAUGCCGCGUGUGUGAAGAAGGCCUUUUGGUUGUAAAGCACUUUAAGCGAGGAGGAGGCUACUUAGAUUAAUACCCUAGGAUAGUGGACGUUACUCGCAGAAUAAGCACCGGCUAACUCUGUGCCAGCAGCCGCGGUAAUACAGAGGGUGCGAGCGUUAAUCGGAUUUACUGGGCGUAAAGCGUGCGUAGGCGGCUUCUUAAGUCGGAUGUGAAAUCCCUGAGCUUAACUUAGGAAUUGCAUUCGAUACUGGGAAGCUAGAGUAUGGGAGAGGAUGGUAGAAUUCCAGGUGUAGCGGUGAAAUGCGUAGAGAUCUGGAGGAAUACCGAUGGCGAAGGCAGCCAUCUGGCCUAAUACUGACGCUGAGGUACGAAAGCAUGGGGAGCAAACAGG